CGGGCUGCGGCCGCGCGGCUCGCUUUCCUGCGUCGCGGGUGCGCGGGCAGCCGCAGGGGCUGAGCUCGUUUGCUCGGUUACUAAGCAACCGGGUAGCUCAAGCCUCUCCUCUGGCUGGUUUAUCCUUCCCUUUCUGAAAGACAUUCGUCCUUCCUACCUCUACUCCUCUCCAAACCAUAUCGCUAGACCCUGAAGCAGCAAUCUUCAUGUGACUUGGUUUCAAAUUCCUUAUACAGCGUAGCUAACUCGGCAUGUAUCAAGAAGGAUUUGUCAUAACCUUAAUAAGUAUGGUGCCCCAAACUAAAGCCAUAUCUGCAGUAUCAAGAACCAUGAAGGAUCUAAGAUCUUACUCUCCUUGCAAGCUAAGUUAGCCUACCGCAGUCUCACAGAUGCUAGCAGAUGUCUACGAGAUGUCUAGGUCAGGGACAGAGGCCCUUAUUACACACGAUGCUGUGCCACGUGCUGGGGGUCCCAAGGAUGGCGGGGUCUGGCUUUCAACACGCAUGGGAAGACAGGACACACAACACACUGCAGUUAGGAUAUUUCACAGGUAGAAAUGCCAGCACAGGAUAGCACAUGCAAAGGAGUUUAUACGCUUUACUGUUCAAAAUAUGCUCUUCCGUGAUUGAUGUGCUGUUUCUUCCAAAUAAAUGUGCUGCAAAUCCAAA
This is a long non-coding RNA of Suricata suricatta (meerkat), 668 nucleotides long. RefSeq lists it as uncharacterized. The transcript has 3 exons. The record is from RefSeq and is a predicted model, not a curated record. NCBI's taxonomy places the organism in Eukaryota, Metazoa, Chordata, Mammalia, Carnivora, Herpestidae.